This 252-nucleotide ribosomal RNA is filed under the name uncultured bacterium. RNAcentral describes it as "partial 16S ribosomal RNA". It matches the Rfam family "Bacterial small subunit ribosomal RNA", at positions 57 to 305 of the family's 1533-position model. The record is from RNAcentral.
GCAAGUCGAGCGGUAACAGAGAGGUGCUUGCACCUCUGGCGUCGAGCGGCGGACGGGUGAGUAAUGCUUGGGAAUAUGCCUUUUGGUGGGGGACAACAGUUGGAAACGACUGCUAAUACCGCAUGAUGUCUACGGACCAAAGUGGGGGACCUUCGGGCCUCACGCCAAAAGAUUAGCCCAAGUGGGAUUAGCUAGUUGGUAAGGUAAUGGCUUACCAAGGCGACGAUCCCUAGCUGGUUUGAGAGGAUGAUC